UCCCCCUAAACAUGGGAUUGGCAAUUCCGCCUAGAUCCAACACAUCAAGAAGAUUGACAGGGUUCAGUCCACUCCUUUCUGCCAGCACCAGUCCCUCAGAAAAUGCAUUCAUCAUACUGCCCAUUAUCAUGUUGACCACAAGUUUCAUUUUUGCUCCAUUUCCAAUCUCCCCCAAGAAGAAAGACUUUUUCCCCAUAACAUCAAAAGCUGGAAUUGCCAAAUCAUAUAGUGCCUUAUCUCCAGCAGCAAGGAUUACUAAUUGACCAGCUUCUGCAGGUUGCUUGCUACCUGAAACAGGAGCUUCAAGGAAAGAACCACCCUUUGCCGUAAUUGCCUUGCUGAUGUUGGUGGAAGUUUCAGGAUCAACAGUUGACAUGUCAAUAUAACCUUUUCCAUUGCAAAUUUCUUCAAGAACUCCAUCUUCGUCAAAAACCACCGAAAGAGUGGCAGCAGGAUCAGAUAAUAUAGCAAUGGUAAGCUCACACUUCUUGACCACAGCUGCAGGAGUUUCUCCAAUUGAUGCGCCUAACUCCACCAGUUCAUUACACUUGGAGAGUGUCCUGUUCCAAACAGUGACCUUGAAGCCACUCUUAAUCAAAUUGGUGGCCAUGGCCUUUCCCAUUAUCCCCAGACCCAAGAACCCUACUUCCAUUUUCUCUUCUCUUCUCCUCUUCUCUUCUCUUCUUCGUGUCUGCAAUCUCCUUCACAGAGAC
RNAcentral lists this unclassified non-coding RNA (713 nucleotides) under Hevea brasiliensis (rubber tree). Lineage: Eukaryota; Viridiplantae; Streptophyta; Magnoliopsida; Malpighiales; Euphorbiaceae. The record is from RNAcentral.